GGCUCCUUGUAUUUUAAAAAUAGGGAGUCGGACCUGCCCAGUGAAAUUUUUUAACGGCCGCGGUACUCUGACCGUGCAAAGGUAGCAUAAUCAUUUGCCUUAUAAUUGAAGGCUUGUAUGAAUGGUUUGACAAGAAUAAAGCUGUCUCUUUAUAAUUAAUUUGAAUUUUAUUUAUAGGUGAAGAAGCCUAUAUUUUAUUGAAAGACAAGAAGACCCUAUCGAGCUUUAAAAAAAUUAAUAAACUUAAAAAUUAGUAUUUGUAAUACAAAUUUUACUAUUAAAUCAUUUUAGUUGGGGCGACUGAGGAACAAACAAAGCUUCCUGUGUAAAUAUUAAUACAUUCAAGUACUGAUCCAAAAAUUUUGAUUAAAGAAAUUAGUUACCGUAGGGAUAACAGCAUUAUCUUUUUUGAGAGUUCUAAUCGAAAAAAAGGUUUGUGACCUCGAUGUUGGAUCAGAAUAUCCUAAAGAUGCAGCCGUCUUUAAGGGUUGGUCUGUUCGACCAUUAAAAUUCUACGUGAUCUGAGUUCAGACCGGCGUGAGCCAGGUCAGUUUCUAUCUUCAAUUUCUGUAGUAAACUUAGUACGAAAGGACCAAUUUACUGUAAAGUAUUUAUUUUAUUUGAUAAAAUAUAAAGUAUUAUUAAAUAAAUGAUAAUCUGUAUCUAAAAUCAAAUUAGCAAAGAUUUAAUGCAAUUGAUUUAGGAUCAAUAGACAUAGGUGAAAUUCCUUUAUUUGAUAAAUAAAGGUGGCAGAUGAA
Molecule: ribosomal RNA, 758 nt
Filed under: Nucella lapillus
Lineage: Eukaryota; Metazoa; Mollusca; Gastropoda; Neogastropoda; Muricidae
Description: partial 16S ribosomal RNA
Rfam family: Bacterial large subunit ribosomal RNA (bases 1-586)
Source: RNAcentral